CCUGUAUUCAAUGCUUUUGGGUAUAGAGGAGUUGAAUUGCUAGAUUAUAUGGUAAUUCAAUUUUAGCUUUUUGUCAAACUGUUUUCCACCAUUUUAAUUUCUUAUCAACAAUAUAUGAAGGCUCCAAAUUCUCUAUAGCCUCGUCAACACUUAUUUUCCGGUUGUUUUUUUUUCAGUUAUCUUACAGCUAUUUCCUUAGCUUUUUAUGCACUUAGCACCAGUUCAUCUUCAAAUUCUCCCAAGUGUUUAGAUAUCUUCUCAGUCAUUCUAAUCUAUCAAAUAUCUCAUCAUUUUCAUCUCCUUGAAGGAGUUUCUCCCAGAAUGUCUUGACUCGCUGCAGCAUGAACUACUUAUCCUAUAGUCAUCCUGGGAUCCUGGGAUCUUCAUGAUCAUCCUGGACAUUCCUCUCCUGUGUUGUUUCUAUUUCCUGGAUCUAAUCUCAUUCUCUUCUUGGUUUACUUUCUCAUUUUGGAGGACUACUCAGCCACAGUACUCUUGGAAAGAUUGUGUAAGAGAUAUAUGAUUUUAGUUUGAAUAUAACACAUAUAUUUUAAUGGGUGUAUCUAUUUUCUCCUACUCUCACAAUUUUGGUAAUUUAGUUAGGUAUAGGAUUCUAGACUGGAAGUUAUUUUGUCUUAGUUUUUGGUACUGGGGAUUUACCCCAAAGGAAAUUUACCACUGAGCUGUUUGACUGUUUUUUUCCCACUAAUGUCUUUUGUUUCUUUCAUACAUCACAAUAGUGGACUGCAUUACAUUCAUAAUAAUUCAUUCACAACACAAUUUUUCAUAACUCUGUAUAUAAAGUAUGUUCAUGCCAAAUUAUGACAUUAUACAUGAGCUCUCUUAUUGAUUUUUUUGCAUUACAAUUCUUUUUUUUUUAUUUUUUAGUUCUU
This 893-nucleotide long non-coding RNA is filed under the name Marmota monax (woodchuck). The record is from RNAcentral. Lineage: Eukaryota; Metazoa; Chordata; Mammalia; Rodentia; Sciuridae.